RNAcentral lists this non-coding RNA (33 nucleotides) under Paenibacillus mucilaginosus KNP414. The record is from RNAcentral. Lineage: Bacteria; Bacillati; Bacillota; Bacilli; Caryophanales; Paenibacillaceae.
CUCUGAUCCACAUGGUGGUUCAGGGCAAAAGAG